CAGAGGGGGCAAGCGUUAUUCGGAAUUAUUGGGCGUAAAGGGCGCGUAGGCGGCUUUGCAAGUGGCGGGUGAAAUCCCUCGGCUUAACCGAGGAACUGCCUGCCAGACUGUGAGGCUUGAGACCGGGAGAGGUGAGUGGAAUUCCCAGUGUAGCGGUGAAAUGCGUAGAUAUUGGGAGGAACACCAGUGGCGAAGGCGGCUCACUGGACCGGAACUGACGCUGAGGCGCGAGAGCGUGGGGAGCAAACAGGAUUAGAUACCCUGGUAGUCCACGCCGUAAACGAUGAGUGCUUGGUGUAGCGGGUAUCGACCCCUGCUGUGCCGAAGUCAACACAUUAAGCACUCCGCCUGGGGAGUACGGUCGCAAGACUG
This 372-nucleotide ribosomal RNA is filed under the name uncultured organism. RNAcentral's name for it is "bacterial SSU rRNA". It matches the Rfam family "Bacterial small subunit ribosomal RNA", at positions 526 to 896 of the family's 1533-position model. The record is from RNAcentral.